CUCUCCAAAACGGCAAACACACGCAACACUCCCAUCAGGCCAUCACCCUUCCUCUCAUCAUCAUUGAGCUCCUCUCUCACUUCCCUCCAGCCACCAGCAAGCCACCGCCGCCGUCGCAGCUUGGAGCUUCAAAGCCACCGUCGCAACGUGGUUCCCCUCCAUCGUGCAGCCAUGCUUGAGCUUCGAAACCACCAAUCCACCAUAGUCAGCCCCGCCUCGCCUCCUGCCUCUGUCGCGCAGCCAUUGUUCUGUCGGCGCCAGCUCUAUUCCACCGCGUCAGUCCUUUGGUCGUGCCCUAUCCCCGUCUUCCCUUCUUGCUGCUGAUCUGCUCUGCUCUAGCAUCUAGUUCUAGCCACGCUUCACUUAAGAGACACUCUUCAAGCUGCCAAGGAUUUCCUUACCUUCGCUGCUGAUUGCAGUAAGAUUUUCAUGGAGGAAAGGGCCAUUCUUCAAAAUCCAGAAAAUAAGUCGCAAAUGAAAGGAAUCAUCAGACGCCUGUUAUCUUAAUGAUUUUCGAUGUCCUGUUUCUCUUAAAUUAAUGAAGAAUCCUGUCAUUGUUUCAACAGCACAGGUAUGCCUGUAUUUUAUCUUUUCUGUAAGGAUAUUUAUAGUUUGUAUUUGAAUGAGAUGAUGCUAUUGGUUUA
Molecule: long non-coding RNA, 644 nt
Organism: Arachis duranensis
Lineage: Eukaryota; Viridiplantae; Streptophyta; Magnoliopsida; Fabales; Fabaceae
Exons: 3
Source: RefSeq, a predicted model, not a curated record